CCACCAGGACCCCCUGGUUGGCUACCAAGCCACCUCGGAGAGCGGUGGUGGCCACCACCAGGGGCUGGUGGCCACCGAUGGCCACCACCAUGCCGUGACGGAGACCACCCUUUGGGUGGCCACCACCAGUGACCACCAGCCACCGACAAAGCCCACCACUGGUCACCAAGUUUUGGGGGGGUUCACUAGCCACCAGCCACACUUGGAGACCACCAGUGGCCACCAGAAGAAGGCGGUGGCCACCAAUGAAGGCCAGAUGACCUCCUGGGUCCCCAUGGGCCACCGGCCAACGUUGGAGGCCACCACUGGCCACAGCGUGAUAGAGACGGACACCACUGAAGACCAAAUGACCCCCUUGGUCCCCACUAGCCCACAGCCAGUUUUAGUGGCCACCGGUGGCUACCAACCACCUUGGAUGACCACCGUUGGCCACCAAUCACCUUUGAAGACCACCGUUGGCUACCAAUCCCCUUCGAAGGCCACCGUUGGCUACCAAUCACCUUCGAAGACCACCAUUGGCCACCAAUGGCCUUGGAAGACCACCGUUGGCUACCAACCACCUUCGAAGACCACCGUUGGCCACCAAUGGCCUUGGAAGACCACCACUGGCCACCAAUCCCCUCGCAAGCCCACCACUGGCCACCACCCAACCCCGUUGACCACCCUUGGCCACCACCCAACCCCGCUGGCCACCACCGAGCUCCUCUUGGCCAACCCGGGGGCAACACCAGCCCCCCAGAGCAGCUCGUGGCGCUGGCUACUGGUGGCCUUGGUGGUAGCCAUGUUGGUGGCCAUGCUCUUGGUGGCCUGGUGGCAAGUCCGCCGCCGGCGCCACUCGGGCUCCACCUCCUUCGGGCCCUGGGCCGGCCCGGCCUUGGUGGCCGAGGACGAUGGCGGCGGUGGUGGUGGCCCGGCCGCGGUGACCCAGCCCUUGGUAGCCACGGUGGCCACCAUGCAGCAGGAGCCCACCCUCAGCACCUUCCGGGCCGCCUUCGGCUCCGUGGCCAUGGAGGAGCUGACGGCCACCAAAGGGGAAGAAGCGCCGGCCAAUGGGGAGCCCGGGGCUCAGGCCACGCCCACCACUUAGCCCCGCCCACCCAAAAAAAAAGCUCCGCCCCCUUUAGCCCCGCCCAAGGGACCCCGGUGGUCCCCGUCCCCAAUUUUGUGCCAUUUGUCCCCAAUUUCCUAUUCCCUGCCCCCAAUUUCAUGUCCUUUGUCCCCAAUUUCCUGUCCCCAAAUUUUGCUUCCCCUGUCCCCAAUUUUGUGUCAUUUGUCCCCGAUUUCCUAUUCCCUGUCCCCAAAUUUCCUGUCCCCUUUCCCCAAUUUCCUGUCCCCAAUUUUGGGUCUCCAGUCCCAAAAUUUCCUGUCCCCUUUCCCCAAAUUUUGUGUCCCCAAUUUAAUGUUCACUGUCACCAAUUUUGUGUCAUUUAUCCCCAAUUUCAAGUCCUUCAUCCCCAGUUUCCUGUCCCCAAUUUUGGGUCUCCUGUCCCCAGAUUUCAUGUCCCCCGUCCCCAAUUUAGUGUCCCCUUUCCCCAAUUUCCUGUCCCCAAUUUUGUGUCCCCUGUCCCCAAUUUCCUCUCCCUGUCCCCAAUUUUGUGACAAAAUUUAUA
This 1610-nucleotide long non-coding RNA is filed under the name Anas platyrhynchos platyrhynchos (common mallard). RNAcentral describes it as "lncRNA (ENSAPLG00000023152.1)". The record is from RNAcentral. Lineage: Eukaryota; Metazoa; Chordata; Aves; Anseriformes; Anatidae.